Molecule: ribosomal RNA, 503 nt
Filed under: uncultured bacterium
Lineage: Bacteria
Description: partial 16S ribosomal RNA
Rfam family: Bacterial small subunit ribosomal RNA
Source: RNAcentral
AUUGAACGCUGGCGGCAGGCUUAACACAUGCAAGUCGAGCGGGGUGAUGGUGCUUGCACUAUCACCUAGCGGCGGACGGGUGAGUAAUGCUUAGGAAUCUGCCUAUUAGUGGGGGACAACAUCUCGAAAGGGAUGCUAAUACCGCAUACGUCCUACGGGAGAAAGCAGGGGAUCACUUGUGACCUUGUGCUAAUAGAUGAGCCUAAGUCGGAUUAGCUAGUUGGUGGGGUAAAGGCCUACCAAGGCGACGAUCUGUAGCGGGUCUGAGAGGAUGAUCCGCCACACUGGCACGGCGAAACGGCCCAGACUCCUACGGGAGGCAGCAGUGGGGAAUAUUGGACAAUGGGGGGAACCCUGAUCCAGCCAUGCCGCGUGUGUGAAGAAGGCCUUAUGGUUGUAAAGCACUUUAAGCGAGGAGGAGGCUUACCUAGUUAAUACCUGGGAUAAGUGGACGUUACUCGCAGAAUAAGCACCGGCUAACUCUGUGCCAGCAGCCGCCGUAA